This 69-nucleotide transfer RNA is filed under the name Ictidomys tridecemlineatus (thirteen-lined ground squirrel). RNAcentral describes it as "Spermophilus tridecemlineatus (thirteen-lined ground squirrel) tRNA". It matches the Rfam family "tRNA". From Rfam's summary of the family: Transfer RNA (tRNA) molecules are approximately 80 nucleotides in length. Their secondary structure includes four short double-helical elements and three loops (D, anti-codon, and T loops). Lineage: Eukaryota; Metazoa; Chordata; Mammalia; Rodentia; Sciuridae. The record is from Rfam by way of RNAcentral.
GGGGUUGUAGCUCAGUGGUAGAGUGCUUGCUUUCCACACAUGAAGCCCUGCGUUCGAUCCUCAGCACCA